CCUGCCUCUAGAGGGGUUGCAGGUAUGCCUGCUGUGUCACACGUGGAUGAGUAGGUGACAGAGAGGAGAGAGGCUAUGUCUCAGCCCAGUGUUCUGUCCUAUGAACAUCUGAAUGAUUAGUAGCCUAGCAUC
This is a small nucleolar RNA of Rattus norvegicus (Norway rat), 132 nucleotides long. Ensembl annotates it as small nucleolar RNA SNORA17. Lineage: Eukaryota; Metazoa; Chordata; Mammalia; Rodentia; Muridae. The record is from Ensembl.